This 158-nucleotide ribosomal RNA is filed under the name Sphaceloma asclepiadis. RNAcentral's name for it is "5.8S ribosomal RNA". It matches the Rfam family "5.8S ribosomal RNA". From Rfam's summary of the family: 5.8S ribosomal RNA (5.8S rRNA) is a component of the large subunit of the eukaryotic ribosome. It is transcribed by RNA polymerase I as part of the 45S precursor that also contains 18S and 28S rRNA. The record is from RNAcentral. Lineage: Eukaryota; Fungi; Ascomycota; Dothideomycetes; Myriangiales; Elsinoaceae.
AACUUUCAACAACGGAUCUCUUGGUUCUGGCAUCGAUGAAGAACGCAGCGAAAUGCGAUAAGUAAUGUGAAUUGCAGAAUUCAGUGAAUCAUCGAAUCUUUGAACGCACAUUGCGCACCCUUGGUAUUCCGAGGGGCAUGCCUGUUCGAGCGUCAUUU